GGUUAAGCGACUAAGCGUACACGGUGGAUGCCCUGGCAGUCAGAGGCGAUGAAGGACGUGCUAAUCUGCGAUAAGCGUCGGUAAGGUGAUAUGAACCGUUAUAACCGGCGAUUUCCGAAUGGGGAAACCCAGUGUGUUUCGACACACUAUCAUUAACUGAAUCCAUAGGUUAAUGAGGCGAACCGGGGGAACUGAAACAUCUAAGUACCCCGAGGAAAAGAAAUCAACCGAGAUUCCCCCAGUAGCGGCGAGCGAACGGGGAGGAGCCCAGAGCCUGAAUCAGUGUGUGUGUUAGUGGAAGCGUCUGGAAAGGCGCGCGAUACAGGGUGACAGCCCCGUACACAAAAAUGCACAUACUGUGAGCUCGAUGAGUAGGGCGGGACACGUGGUAUCCUGUCUGAAUAUGGGGGGACCAUCCUCCAAGGCUAAAUACUCCUGACUGACCGAUAGUGAACCAGUACCGUGAGGGAAAGGCGAAAAGAACCCCGGCGAGGGGAGUGAAAAAGAACCUGAAACCGUGUACGUACAAGCAGUGGGAGCCUCUUUUAUGGGGUGACUGCGUACCUUUUGUAUAAUGGGUCAGCGACUUAUAUUCUGUAGCAAGGUUAACCGAAUAGGGGAGCCGAAGGGAAACCGAGUCUUAACUGGGCGUUAAGUUGCAGGGUAUAGACCCGAAACCCGGUGAUCUAGCCAUGGGCAGGUUGAAGGUUGGGUAACACUAACUGGAGGACCGAACCGACUAAUGUUGAAAAAUUAGCGGAUGACUUGUGGCUGGGGGUGAAAGGCCAAUCAAACCGGGAGAUAGCUGGUUCUCCCCGAAAGCUAUUUAGGUAGCGCCUCGUGAAUUCAUCUCCGGGGGUAGAGCACUGUUUCGGCAAGGGGGUCAUCCCGACUUACCAACCCGAUGCAAACUGCGAAUACCGGAGAAUGUUAUCACGGGAGACACACGGCGGGUGCUAACGUCCGUCGUGAAGAGGGAAACAACCCAGACCGCCAGCUAAGGUCCCAAAGUCAUGGUUAAGUGGGAAACGAUGUGGGAAGGCCCAGACAGCCAGGAUGUUGGCUUAGAAGCAGCCAUCAUUUAAAGAAAGCGUAAUAGCUCACUGGUCGAGUCGGCCUGCGCGGAAGAUGUAACGGGGCUAAACCAUGCACCGAAGCUGCGGCAGCGACGCUUAUGCGUUGUUGGGUAGGGGAGCGUUCUGUAAGCCUGCGAAGGUGUGCUGUGAGG
RNAcentral lists this ribosomal RNA (1228 nucleotides) under Escherichia coli. Its description in RNAcentral is "partial 23S ribosomal RNA". It matches the Rfam family "Bacterial large subunit ribosomal RNA", at positions 1 to 1268 of the family's 2925-position model. The record is from RNAcentral. Lineage: Bacteria; Pseudomonadati; Pseudomonadota; Gammaproteobacteria; Enterobacterales; Enterobacteriaceae.